Long non-coding RNA from Apis florea (little honeybee), 1542 nucleotides. RefSeq lists it as uncharacterized. NCBI's taxonomy places the organism in Eukaryota, Metazoa, Arthropoda, Insecta, Hymenoptera, Apidae. The record is from RefSeq and is a predicted model, not a curated record.
AUUCAUUAUUCCAUCUUUUUUAUCAUCGUCAUUAUUCACUAAGGACAUUAACAAAGAUUAAUGAUGAAAAAAUAAAUCAAGACAAAAUAGAAUGAAAUAGAAUGAUGACUUUGCAACAUAACCUCUUAAUCAAAGAAAUUCUGUUAUAUUUCUAUUUCUCAUCAAUUUUAUCAUCGGCUAAUAAUGACAAUGCGUAAUGGCAGAAGAGAUGGAAUAGAGUGAGAAUGCAUACUUUGUCUUUUAUUCUUUUCUUCUGACAAACGGACAGUAUUUCUAUGUACAGCGAUAUCCUCCAUUUCUCGCGCGAAAGUAGUGCCACCAGUGGCGGUACAGCAAAAUAUACAUCUGUUCCUGUGUUAAAUGGUCUUCCCUUCACAUGCGUAUAAACGCACACUCUGGUGAAUGCACCGAAUUCGGAGGUUUCUGGACAAAGGGUGAGCAGAGAAGGGAGGUGUUACGCUUCGUCUGGUCCUCCGUGAGAUUGCACACCGUGACCAACAAACUACCACGGUUUACGGGAUAUAACUCGGGAGGAACGAGCUCGACAAGAGGGAAAAGGAAAAUGCGGGAAAAUGGAGAUGGUCAGGAAAGAAUAGUGUAUGUGAGAACAGGGAAACGUACUGGUUCAAGAGGUACGUACAUAGUAUGCGUCACAAAUGUCAUACUGGUAUCUUGAAUUUUCAAAAUAAACAAUUUCAACAGAAGAGAUACUCGUUCAACACUCUUAAUAAUCAAAUUGAAAACCACAAGACUUCUUCUAAAUUUUUACUAAAAGUUUGGUUAAAAUUGAUAACCUCAAAAAAUUUUUUUGACAAAAAAUACAUGGAUAUACUCGCACGAAUUUAUUAGAAUUUUUAACGAGAAUAUGGAGAACUAAUAUACAUUUAGGAAACCACGAUUAUUAAACAUUCCAAUUAAAACGAAUCAAUAAGGUUAAUUGGUUCGCAUAAUUCUAGCUGAAUAUGGCGCGCUACGAAAUGCGUGCGGUAAGUUAUCGUGGAAUGCAAUUUAUAUUUAGGUAGGUAACUUUACUAGAACGAUGUAAUUCAUCUCCGUUACAACUGUGAUAUCAGUGGUUGGCUUUUCGUUUGUCGUAUAAUAGUGGAAAGUGGAAAUCCAAGGAUUUAUGCCGCAGAUGGACAUGUUGAUUGCAUUUUGUGGAAAUCCCACUUUCACUCUCAUCGAGAAGCAACGUGUUCUAACUGGCUCUUCGAGUCUGGCCUGGAAUUGUUGAUCACCUUCGUCGGUCACUGGAAGUAAUAAGUAAAUACAUGCGGUAUUUCGUACACAAAGCGAAGGCAUUCCACAUCCAGUACAAGUUUAAGGACUUUACAUGGCAAAUUCCUCGCAUCCAGAGAUGUUUAGCCACGAUAAUCAUUAGACCGAGCGUGAAAUUGCAUAAUUUUCUGUGUACAUUACGAAAAUUACGAUUAGAAAUAUGAUUGAAAAUGAUUGGCGAAUAACAAAAAGUUUUUUGGUCGGAUUUUAAUAAUUUAAAAAAAAAGAAAGAAUGUGUUUGUGAUGAGAAUCGAUGCGAGAAAU